Wyeomyia smithii (pitcher-plant mosquito) is the source of this 761-nucleotide long non-coding RNA. RefSeq lists it as uncharacterized. Lineage: Eukaryota; Metazoa; Arthropoda; Insecta; Diptera; Culicidae. The record is from RefSeq and is a predicted model, not a curated record. The transcript has 2 exons.
UAAGAAGCCUGUGAAUUAUUAAGCUGGUUGACAGCACAAUUUUCUCUAUUCAUAUUUGUUCCAACCUCCAAAGAAUAUAGACGUUAAAGCUACAACUAGUCUUUUAUUUGUUGGAGACUACAACAAUAAGUUGAAACAAAUAGGUCAUAAUUCUCAGGUCAUAAUCAUUCAGUGUAAUCAAUUGUAACAUACUUUUGGAGACCCCUUGACGUUAUAGUAAAAAAAGUCAAAUUGCUGUCUUCCUGUUUGCUUUGUGUAAUUAUUUCUCUAUCACGGUUACUUGCCUGGUGGUGGUUUUCUAGCAGGCGUUCCGCAAGAUUCGAUUUAAUAGAAGUCACCUUUCCAAUUUCAUCGUUUGUUGAAGAUGAGGAUUCCAUUGGGCAGAAAACAAGCUGAACAGGCCUCCCUGUGGCUGUCAUCGGGUGUUGGUUUCGGAGCAACUGCUGCUUUACUCGGUUGUUACUUCACCGACUGGAAAGUGAUUGUAACGUACAUCCCGUUCUACGGUGGCAAGUUCAAAGAAGAAAAAUCUGACUAGAUUCGAUCAAACAAAUAAAAACAGUAAAAUUGGGAAUACACACAUCAUCCAAAUCUACUUGACCAACGUCGUUGGCAAAAAUUCACACAGUAUGUUUUCACUGGCGGCUUACUUUGAAUGAAAAACAAUGACAUUUUCCUCAAACAACAGCUUUUUUAAAGUGUGUGUAUACCGACUUAUUUAUGAGUUAGGAUAAACAAAUUACAAAUGAAUUUCAAUUGCA